RNAcentral lists this ribosomal RNA (119 nucleotides) under Pteropus alecto (black flying fox). The record is from RNAcentral. Lineage: Eukaryota; Metazoa; Chordata; Mammalia; Chiroptera; Pteropodidae.
GUCUACAGCCAUGCCACCCUGAACAAGUCUGAUCCCUUCUGAUCUUGGAAGCUAAGCAGGGUCGGGCCUGGUUAGUACUUGGAUGGGAGACCACCUAGGAAAACCAGGUGCUGUAGGCA